This 24-nucleotide non-coding RNA is filed under the name Arabidopsis thaliana (thale cress). The record is from RNAcentral. Lineage: Eukaryota; Viridiplantae; Streptophyta; Magnoliopsida; Brassicales; Brassicaceae.
UCCUAGCCUAUAAAUAGCAGAAGA